CCUACGGGCUGCACCAGUGGGGAAUAUUGCACAAUGGGCGCAAGCCUGAUGCAGCCAUGCCGCGUGUAUGAAGAAGGCCUUCGGGUUGUAAAGUACUUUCAGCGGGGAGGAAGGUGUUGUGGUUAAUAACCACAACAAUUGACGUUACCCGCAGAAGAAGCACCGGCUAACUCCGUGCCAGCAGCCGCGGUAAUACGGAGGGUGCAAGCGUUAAUCGGAAUUACUGGGCGUAAAGCGCACGCAGGCGGUCUGUCAAGUCGGAUGUGAAAUCCCCGGGCUCAACCUGGGAACUGCAUUCGAAACUGGCAGGCUAGAGUCUUGUAGAGGGGGGUAGAAUUCCAGGUGUAGCGGUGAAAUGCGUAGAGAUCUGGAGGAAUACCGGUGGCGAAGGCGGCCCCCUGGAAAAAGACUGACGCUCAGUUGCGAAAGCGUGGGGAGCAAACAGGAUUAGAUACCCCGGUACUC
This 465-nucleotide ribosomal RNA is filed under the name uncultured bacterium. RNAcentral describes it as "bacterial SSU rRNA". It matches the Rfam family "Bacterial small subunit ribosomal RNA", at positions 338 to 795 of the family's 1533-position model. The record is from RNAcentral.